RNAcentral lists this ribosomal RNA (627 nucleotides) under uncultured Russulaceae. RNAcentral describes it as "LSU rRNA". It matches the Rfam family "Eukaryotic large subunit ribosomal RNA", at positions 47 to 649 of the family's 3401-position model. The record is from RNAcentral. Lineage: Eukaryota; Fungi; Basidiomycota; Agaricomycetes; Russulales; Russulaceae.
UAAGCGGAGGAAAAGAAACUAACAAGGAUUCCCCUAGUAACUGCGAGUGAAGCGGGAAAAGCUCAAAUUUAAAAUCUGGCGGUCUUUGGCCGUCCGAGUUGCAAUUUAGAGAAGCGUCUUCCGCGCCGGACCGUGCACAAGUCUCCUGGAAUGGAGCGUCAUAGAGGGUGAGAAUCCCGUCUUUGGCACGGAUGCCUGGUGCUUCUGUGAUGCGCUCUCGAAGAGUCGAGUUGUUUGGGAAUGCAGCUCAAAAUGGGUGGUGAACUCCAUCUAAAGCUAAAUAUUGGCGAGAGACCGAUAGCGAACAAGUACCGUGAGGGAAAGAUGAAAAGCACUUUGGAAAGAGAGUGAAACAGUACGUGAAAUUGUUGAAAGGGAAACGCUUGAAGUCAGUCGCGUCGACCGAGACUCAGCCUUGCCUCGGCUUGGUGUACUUCUCGGCCCGACGGGUCAGCAUCAAUUUUGGCCCUCGGAUAAUGGCAGAGGAAAGGUGGCACCUUUACGGGUGUGUUAUAGUCUCCUGUCGCAUGCGAGGGGUGGGAUUGAGGAACUCAGCGCGCACCCCAGUGUCGGGGCUUCGGCCCACGUCACGCGCUUAGGAUGCUGGCGUAAUGGCUUUAAACGACC